RNAcentral lists this ribosomal RNA (207 nucleotides) under uncultured bacterium. RNAcentral's name for it is "partial 16S ribosomal RNA". It matches the Rfam family "Bacterial small subunit ribosomal RNA", at positions 568 to 774 of the family's 1533-position model. The record is from RNAcentral.
AGCGCAGGCGGGAGAACAAGUUGGAAGUGAAAUCCAUGGGCUCAACCCAUGAACUGCUUUCAAGACUGUUUUUCUUGAGUAGUGCAGAGGUAGGCGGAAUUCCCGGUGUAGCGGUGGAAUGCGUAGAUAUCGGGAGGAACACCAGUGGCGAAGGCGGCCUACUGGGCACCAACUGACGCUGAGGCUCGAAAGUGUGGGUAGCAAACA